GACGAACGCUGGCGGCGUGCUUAACACAUGCAAGUCGAACGGACUUUAUUAAGGAGCUUGCUCCGAGAUAAAGUUAGUGGCGGACGGGUGAGUAACGCGUGGGCAACCUACCCUUAAAACCGGGACAACAGUUGGAAACGACUGCUAAUACCGGAUACGCUUCUUGAGUGACAUCGCUUAAGAAGGAAAGAUGGCCUCUGAAUAUGCUAUCGAUUAAGGAUGGGCCCGCGUCUGAUUAGCUAGUUGGUAAGGUAACGGCUUACCAAGGCGACGAUCAGUAGCCGGCCUGAGAGGGUGAUCGGCCACACUGGGACUGAGACACGGCCCAGACUCCUACGGGUGGCAG
This 346-nucleotide ribosomal RNA is filed under the name uncultured Bacillota bacterium. Its description in RNAcentral is "bacterial SSU rRNA". It matches the Rfam family "Bacterial small subunit ribosomal RNA", at positions 28 to 351 of the family's 1533-position model. The record is from RNAcentral. Lineage: Bacteria; Bacillati; Bacillota.